AGUGAACGCUGGCGGUAGGCCUAACACAUGCAAGUCGAACGGCAGCACAGUAAGAGCUUGCUCUUACGGGUGGCGAGUGGCGGACGGGUGGGGAAUACAUCGGAAUCUACUUUUUCGUGGGGGAUAACGUAGGGAAACUUACGCUAAUACCGCAUACGACCUACGGGUGAAAGCAGGGGAUCUUCGGACCUUGCGCGAUUGAAUGAGCCGAUGUCGGAUUAGCUAGUUGGCGGGGUAAAGGCCCACCAAGGCGACGAUCCGUAGCUGGUCUGAGAGGAUGGUCAGCCACACUGGAACUGAGACACGGUCCAGACUCCUACGGGAGGCAGCAGUGGGGAAUAUUGGACAAUGGGCGGAAGCCUGAUCCAGCCAUACCGCGUGGGUGAAGAAGGCCUUCGGGUUGUAAAGCCCUUUUGUUGGGAAAGAAAAGCAGCAGGUUAAUACCCCGCUGUUCUGACGGUACCCAAAGAAUAAGCACCGGCUAACUUCGUG
RNAcentral lists this ribosomal RNA (492 nucleotides) under uncultured bacterium. Its description in RNAcentral is "partial 16S ribosomal RNA". It matches the Rfam family "Bacterial small subunit ribosomal RNA", at positions 29 to 507 of the family's 1533-position model. The record is from RNAcentral.